GUCUAGCCUGCUCCAUGAUAUUUAAAUAGCCGCAGUAUUUUGACUGUGCAAAGGUAGCAUAAUCAUUAGUUUCUUAAUUAGGAACUUGUAUGAAUGGUUGGAUGAGAAAUAAUCUGUCUCUAUAUAAUUUUACUAGAAUUUUAUUUUUAAGUUAAAAAGCUUAAAUUUUUAUUAAAGACGAGAAGACCCUAUAGAGUUUUAUUUAAUUAGAGUUAUUAUUUAUUAAGAAUUUAAAUUUUGUAAUUUUAAUUGAAUUUUGUUGGGGUGACAGGAAAACAAGUUAAACUUUUCAUUUUUAAAACAUUAUUUUAUGAUUUGUUGAUCCAAUUUUUUUGAUUAUAAGAUUAAAUUACCUUAGGGAUAACAGCGUAAUUUUUUUUGAGAGUUCUUAUCGAAAAAGGAGAUUGCGACCUCGAUGUUGGAUUAAAAUUUAAAGUUGGCGUAGAAGUUAACUUUUUAAGUCUGUUCGACUUUUAAAAUUUUACGUGAUCUGAGUUCAGACCGGA
Molecule: ribosomal RNA, 506 nt
Filed under: Oocyclus nr. petra SLE0467
Lineage: Eukaryota; Metazoa; Arthropoda; Insecta; Coleoptera; Hydrophilidae
Description: partial 16S ribosomal RNA
Rfam family: Bacterial large subunit ribosomal RNA
Source: RNAcentral